Molecule: ribosomal RNA, 253 nt
Filed under: uncultured bacterium
Lineage: Bacteria
Description: partial 16S ribosomal RNA
Rfam family: Bacterial small subunit ribosomal RNA
Source: RNAcentral
GACGUAGGGGGCCAGCGUUGUUCGGAAUUACUGGGUGUAAAGGGUUCGUAGGCGGUGUGGCAAGUCGGGAGUGAAAUCUCUGGGCUCAACUCAGAGACUGCUUCCGAAACUGCUGUGCUGGAGUGUGGGAGAGGCGCGUGGAAUUGCAGGUGUAGCGGUGAAAUGCGUAGAUAUCUGCAGGAACACCCGUGGCGAAAGCGGCGCGCUGGACCACUACUGACGCUGAGGUGCGAAAGCGUGGGGAGCAAACAGG